This 371-nucleotide ribosomal RNA is filed under the name uncultured organism. RNAcentral describes it as "partial 16S ribosomal RNA". It matches the Rfam family "Bacterial small subunit ribosomal RNA", at positions 527 to 896 of the family's 1533-position model. The record is from RNAcentral.
GUAGGGUGCAAGCGUUAAUCGGAAUUACUGGGCGUAAAGCGUGCGCAGGCGGGGUUUGUAAGUCUGACGUGAAAGCCCCGGGGCUCAACCUGGGAAUUGCGUUGGAGACUGCAAGGCUUGAAUCUGGCAGAGGGGGGUAGAAUUCCACGUGUAGCAGUGAAAUGCGUAGAGAUGUGGAGGAACACCGAUGGCGAAGGCAGCCCCCUGGGUCAAGAUUGACGCUCAUGCACGAAAGCGUGGGGAGCAAACAGGAUUAGAUACCCUGGUAGUCCACGCCCUAAACGAUGUCUACUAGUUGUCGGGUCUUAAUUGACUUGGUAACGCAGCUAACGCGUGAAGUAGACCGCCUGGGGAGUACGGUCGCAAGAUUA